Molecule: ribosomal RNA, 468 nt
Filed under: uncultured bacterium
Lineage: Bacteria
Description: partial 16S ribosomal RNA
Rfam family: Bacterial small subunit ribosomal RNA
Source: RNAcentral
GACGAACGCUGGCGGCGUGCUUAACACAUGCAAGUCGAACGGAAAGGCCCUGCUUUUGUGGGGUGCUCGAGUGGCGAACGGGUGAGUAACACGUGAGUAACCUGCCCUUGACUUUGGGAUAACUUCAGGAAACUGGGGCUAAUACCGGAUAGGAGCUCCUGCUGCAUGGUGGGGGUUGGAAAGUUUCGGCGGUUGGGGAUGGACUCGCGGCUUAUCAGCUUGUUGGUGGGGUAGUGGCUUACCAAGGCUUUGACGGGUAGCCGGCCUGAGAGGGUGACCGGCCACAUUGGGACUGAGAUACGGCCCAGACUCCUAAGGGAGGCAGCAGUGGGGAAUAUUGCACAAUGGGCGGAAGCCUGAUGCAGCAACGCCGCGUGCGGGAUGACGGCCUUCGGGUUGUAAACCGCUUUCGCCUGUGACGAAGCGUGAGUGGCGGUAAUGGGUAAAGAAGCACCGGCUAACUACGUG